RNAcentral lists this small RNA (29 nucleotides) under Bombyx mori (domestic silkworm). Its description in RNAcentral is "ovarian small RNA-1426". Lineage: Eukaryota; Metazoa; Arthropoda; Insecta; Lepidoptera; Bombycidae. The record is from RNAcentral.
UCACGAGGUGAGCACCCAGAGGCGGCGCU